UGUACGGCCACACUGGAACUGAGACACGGUCCAGACUCCUACGGGAGGCAGCAGCUAAGAAUCUUCCGCAAUGGGGGAAACCCUGACGGAGCGACGCCGCGUGGAUGAUGAAGGCCGUAAGGUUGUAAAAUCCUUUUGUCGGUGAAGAAUAAGUGGGGGAGUGGAAAGCCCUCAUGAUGACGUUAGCCGACGAAUAAGCCCCGGCUAAUUACGUGCCAGCAGCCGCGGUAAUACGUAUGGGGCAAGCGUUGUUCGGAUUUAUUGGGCGUAAAGGGCGUGUAGGCGGCUCAUCAAGUCUGGUGUGAAAUUGCAGGGCUCAACCCUGCAGAUGCGCUGGAAACUGGUGGGCUUGAGUUCUUGAGGGGAAGCUGGAAUUCCAGGUGUAGGGGUGAAAUCUGUAGAUAUCUGGAAGAACACCGGUGGCGAAGGCGAGCUUCUAUCAGAGGACUGACGCUGAGGCGCGAAAGCGUGGGGAGCAAACAGGAUUAGAUACCCUGGUAGUCCACGCUGUAAACGAUGUGCACUAGGCGUGGGGCCCGUACGGGUUCUGUGCCGUAGUUAACGUGUUAAGUGCACCGCCUGGGGAGUAUGCUCGCAAGGGUGAAACUCAAAGGAAUUGACGGGGGCCCGCACAAGCGGUGGAGCAUGUGGUUUAAUUCGAUAGUACACGAGGAACCUUACCAGGGCUUGACAUGUGCGUGAAUGUUCACGAGAGUGGGCAGCCCCGCAAGGGGCGCGCACACAGGUGCUGCAUGGCUGUCGUCAGCUCGUGUCGUGAGAUGUUGGGUUAAGUCCCGCAACGAGCGCAACCCUUACUGUCAGUUGCCAACAGGUUGUGCUGGGCACUCUGGCGGAACUGCCGGUGACAAACCGGAGGAAGGUGGGGAUGACGUCAAGUCAUCAUGGCCCUUAUGUCCUGGGCUACACACGUGCUACAAUGGUCGGUACAAAGCGAAGCAAAACGGCGACGUCAAGCAAAUCGCAGAAAGCCGAUCUCAGUGCGGAUUGGAGUCUGAAACCCGACUCCAUGAAGUUGGAAUCGCUAGUAAUCGCGCAUCAGCAUGGCGCGGUGAAUACGUUCCCGGGCCUUGUACACACCGCCCGUCACACCACCCGAGUUGGGGGUACCCGAAGUCAGUAGCCUAACCGCAAGGGGGGCGCUGCCGAAGGUAUGCCUGGUGAGGGGGGUGAAGUCGUAACAAGGUA
RNAcentral lists this ribosomal RNA (1206 nucleotides) under metagenome. RNAcentral's name for it is "bacterial SSU rRNA". It matches the Rfam family "Bacterial small subunit ribosomal RNA", at positions 301 to 1498 of the family's 1533-position model. The record is from RNAcentral.